CUUCAUCUUCAUGGCUGUGGGUUCAAAUCUCCCUGAGAAGAGAAGGGAACAGACCACUGUCAGGUGUGGUGGCGACAACAGCCUCGUCUCCCGUGAGAAGCAAGUGCAGAGUAAAUGCUUGGAGGGUGUCUAGGAAACAGCUGGACGUGGCCUGGUGUACUGCAGAGAAAUGGACGCAGACACAGGGAGUGAGUGUUCCUGGGACGAGUGAUCAAGGCCUGGCUGCCUCCCAGGAAAAGGCAACAACCUCCCUUGUUGGAAAUAUCAUUGCAACUGCCUGCCAAACACGCUCUGGGUGAACAGUGGUGCUGGCCUGUGGAAAUGCUUCCUCUGCCCACUCCCUACAACAAAUAAAAGUGGCCGUCUUUAAUAAGUUCCAGUGAUGUGCUGGGCACCGUGCUCAAUAAGUGUUGUAUGUAUGGAUUUCAUUUAAUCGCCACGACGACUCUGCGGUAGGCACUUGUUUUGGAUUGCAAGUUUGUGCCCCCUCAGAUUCGUGCAUUGAAGCCCUAACCCCCAAUGGGAUGGUAUUUGGAGGUGGGGCCUUUGGGCGGUGAUUAGGCCUAGAGGAGGGUGGAGCCCCCAUGAGAGGAUUGGUGUCCUUAUUAG
RNAcentral lists this long non-coding RNA (609 nucleotides) under Equus caballus (horse). RNAcentral describes it as "lncRNA (ENSECAG00000048442.1)". The record is from RNAcentral. Lineage: Eukaryota; Metazoa; Chordata; Mammalia; Perissodactyla; Equidae.